This 73-nucleotide transfer RNA is filed under the name Myotis lucifugus (little brown bat). It matches the Rfam family "tRNA". Rfam says of the family: Transfer RNA (tRNA) molecules are approximately 80 nucleotides in length. Their secondary structure includes four short double-helical elements and three loops (D, anti-codon, and T loops). The record is from Rfam by way of RNAcentral. Lineage: Eukaryota; Metazoa; Chordata; Mammalia; Chiroptera; Vespertilionidae.
GCCGGUUUGGCUCAGUGGAUAGAGCGUCGGCCUGUGGACUGAAAGGUCCCAGGUUCGAUUCUGGGAAGGGGCA